This 66-nucleotide transfer RNA is filed under the name Margaritifera laevis. Its description in RNAcentral is "tRNA-Asn". Lineage: Eukaryota; Metazoa; Mollusca; Bivalvia; Unionida; Margaritiferidae. The record is from RNAcentral.
AGACAGGAAGCUAUACGAGCAGUUAGCUGUUACCUAACUAAAAGUGGAACUUAUCCACCCUCUCUA